RNAcentral lists this long non-coding RNA (337 nucleotides) under Ananas comosus (pineapple). Its description in RNAcentral is "long non-coding RNA (ACOM_LNC039623)". Lineage: Eukaryota; Viridiplantae; Streptophyta; Magnoliopsida; Poales; Bromeliaceae. The record is from RNAcentral.
UUUUUUUCUUCUUCUUCUUCCUCCUCCCAGUCCGGUCGCCCACUUCCUGCGCCCAGCCCACAUUAGAUCCACCCAAAACUCCUCCAAAACUCAUAUUUCCUCUCCUUCCUUUUCAAUCUGUGGUAUUUCUUCUCCAUUUUUUUUUCUCUUUACAAACUGUUAGCCCUAAUCUUGCUUUUAUUUUUAUUUUUUUUACCGAUUCCUUGUACUUUGUGCAACAUAAUCCUUUUCUCUACCUAGAUCUAUAUCAUUUCAUCUUAAAUCUUGCAUUUUGUUCAUCUUUUGCAUAUACCCUUGAUUUUUUUUGUUUAAACCCUAAUUAUUUUUUAAUUAUAUA